UACGGGGGGGAGCAAGCGUUGUUCGGAUUUACUGGGCGUAAAGGGCGCGUAGGCGGUCAGCACAAGUCAGUUGUGAAAUCUCCGGGCUUAACUCGGAAAGGUCAACUGAUACUGUGCGACUAGAGUGCGGAAGGGGCAACUGGAAUUCUCGGUGUAGCGGUGAAAUGCGUAGAUAUCGAGAGGAACACCUGCGGCGAAGGCGGGUUGCUGGGCCGACACUGACGCUGAGGCACGAAAAGCUAGGGGGAGCAAACAGG
RNAcentral lists this ribosomal RNA (257 nucleotides) under uncultured bacterium. Its description in RNAcentral is "partial 16S ribosomal RNA". It matches the Rfam family "Bacterial small subunit ribosomal RNA", at positions 524 to 776 of the family's 1533-position model. The record is from RNAcentral.